UUUUUUUCUGCCUUUUUGACACACAGUGAGUUUGUACUGUAUAUUUUGCAAACCUUAUGUGUGCUACGGCUUUAUAAUACUUUAUAUGUUGCUCAGCUAUGUUGUCUGAGUACAGCAAUACCCCCGUAUGUACCUUUGCCAGGUAUAUGUGGACGUUGAAGGGGCACAUUUCAGACACAGCCAUUGCAGGUUUUUUCAAACUUUGAAUUUUUAUGCUGUGCUAUUACCCCAC
Non-coding RNA from Pelobates cultripes (western spadefoot toad), 232 nucleotides. Lineage: Eukaryota; Metazoa; Chordata; Amphibia; Anura; Pelobatidae. The record is from the annotation of a GenBank genome assembly.